AGUGUCUCCAGUAGGGGUUCCCUUAUGCAAACUACCUCCACACUUCCCUCCUCAUAUAAUCAGUUAAUGUGCACCUCAAUUACAGCCAUCAGAGAAGAACAUCUGUUAUCAGUUCAGCUGCAUGACAAACCAUGAUCCGUACAUCUCAGCUUCUGCUAUUGUUGAUAGCUGCCACACAUGUCCACAUGGAGGAGCUCAAUCAGCCAGCUUCUGUGAAUAUCCAGCCCAGUCAAAGCUUGACCAUCCAAUGUAGGGUCUCAUAUUCUAUCACUACCUAUGCAACUGGAUGGAUAAGACAGGCUUCAGGGGGACCACUAGAGUGGGUCGGGCUUGUUGACACUGAUGGGAGCUUGUACUACAAGGACUCUUUGAAAAACAAGUUCACCCUCUCCAGAGACACCUCCAGUAAAACACUGACUCUACAGGGCCAGAAUCUGCAGGCUGAAGACACAGCUGUGUAUUACUGUGCACGGGAGGCACAGUGACUGAAUGCAAUGGCCAGGCU
Molecule: non-coding RNA, 505 nt
Organism: Clupea harengus (Atlantic herring)
Lineage: Eukaryota; Metazoa; Chordata; Actinopteri; Clupeiformes; Clupeidae
Source: the annotation of a RefSeq genome assembly